AAUAAAUGUAUUAUGAAAAUGUUGGAUAUUACACUUUGAAUCUUUCCCAGACUUGAUAGAAGGUUUCAUUGUCCUUUUGGGAAAAUGUGGAAAUCUGUCGUUUUAGACU
Molecule: small nucleolar RNA, 109 nt
Organism: Humulus lupulus (European hop)
Lineage: Eukaryota; Viridiplantae; Streptophyta; Magnoliopsida; Rosales; Cannabaceae
Source: RefSeq, a predicted model, not a curated record